This 468-nucleotide ribosomal RNA is filed under the name uncultured bacterium. RNAcentral describes it as "partial 16S ribosomal RNA". It matches the Rfam family "Bacterial small subunit ribosomal RNA", at positions 28 to 507 of the family's 1533-position model. The record is from RNAcentral.
GACGAACGCUGGCGGCGUGCUUAACACAUGCAAGUCGAACGGAAAGGCCCUGCUUUUGUGGGGUGCUCGAGUGGCGAACGGGUGAGUAACACGUGAGUAACCUGCCCUUGACUUUGGGAUAACUUCAGGAAACUGGGGCUAAUACCGGAUAGGAGCUCCUGCUGCAUGGUGGGGGUUGGAAAGUUUCGGCGGUUGGGGAUGGACUCGCGGCUUAUCAGCUUGUUGGUGGGGUAGUGGCUUACCAAGGCUUUGACGGGUAGCCGGCCUGAGAGGGUGACCGGACACAUUGGGACUGAGAUAAGGCCCAGACUCCUACGGGAGGCAGCAGUGGGGAAUAUUGCACAAUGGGCGGAAGCCUGAUGCAGCAACGCCGCGUGCGGGAUGACGGCCUUCGGGUUGUAAACCGCUUUCGCCUGUGACGAAGCGUGAGUGACGGUAAUGGGUAAAGAAGCACCGGCUAACUACGUG